AUCGUUUCUUGGCCUUUUGGCUAAGAUCAAAUGAAGUAUCUGUUCUUAUCAGUUUAAAACUGGAAGGAAAAAAAAAAACUGGAAGAGCACAGGCAGGGUGGAUAGAGCACAAAACUAAC
RNAcentral lists this small nuclear RNA (119 nucleotides) under Otolemur garnettii (small-eared galago). RNAcentral describes it as "U2 spliceosomal RNA". It matches the Rfam family "U2 spliceosomal RNA". Rfam says of the family: U2 is a small nuclear RNA (snRNA) component of the spliceosome (involved in pre-mRNA splicing). Lineage: Eukaryota; Metazoa; Chordata; Mammalia; Primates; Galagidae. The record is from Rfam by way of RNAcentral.